AGCAGUAGCCGCGGUAAUACGAAGGGUGCAAGCGUUACUCGGAAUUACUGGGCGUAAAGCGUGCGUAGGUGGUGGUUUAAGUCCGUUGUGAAAGCCCUGGGCUCAACCUGGGAAUUGCAGUGGAUACUGGGUCACUAGAGUGUGGUAGAGGAUAGUGGAAUUUCCGGUGUAGCAGUGAAAUGCGUAGAGAUCGGAAGGAACAUCUGUGGCGAAGGCGACUAUCUGGGCCAACACUGACACUGAGGCACGAAAGCGUGGGGAGCAAACAGGAUUAGAUACCCCUGUAGUCCCUGUCUCUUAUAA
This 303-nucleotide ribosomal RNA is filed under the name uncultured bacterium. Its description in RNAcentral is "partial 16S ribosomal RNA". It matches the Rfam family "Bacterial small subunit ribosomal RNA", at positions 507 to 809 of the family's 1533-position model. The record is from RNAcentral.